RNAcentral lists this ribosomal RNA (253 nucleotides) under uncultured prokaryote. Its description in RNAcentral is "partial 16S ribosomal RNA". It matches the Rfam family "Bacterial small subunit ribosomal RNA", at positions 524 to 776 of the family's 1533-position model. The record is from RNAcentral.
UACGUAGGGGGCAAGCGUUGUUCGGAAUUACUGGGCGUAAAGCGCGUGAAGGCGGUUUGGUAAGUCAGAUGUGAAAGCCCCGGGCUCAACUUGGGAACUGCAUUUGAUACUGCCAAACUAGAGUACAGAAGAGGUGACUGGAAUUCCCAGUGUAGCGGUGAAGUGCGUAGAUAUUGGGAGGAACACCAGAUGCGAAGGCGGGUCACUGGGCUGAUACUGACGCUAAGGCGCGAAAGCGUGGGGAGCAAACAGG